CUCACACAUUAUUUAUUGGCCACAAAUUAUCUAUUUCAUUGAUCGUACAUUAACCAAUUUAUUAGUCAAAAUUAAGCAAAUAAUUUGUGGCUGCCACCACCAUUUGUGACUUCCAAUUCGCCACUGCCUCUAGCGGUACCUUUGCCAACACCACCGUUGCCAAAUUCACUACCACCACUUCACAACAAUUGGCAGCACCACCACCACCACGUGCUCCAUCUCAAACAAACUAGCAUCCACCACCAAAAACCACCACAAUUUGCACCACCACCGCGACGAUAGUGACAUUGACAUUAUAUACACCAACACCAACACCAACAAAACCGUUUUAUGACCACCAACUCACCAUCUCAAAACCCCAACAACACCAAAACAUGAAAACCACCAUUGUCACCACCACUCCAACAACAACAAAAACCAAGAUCUCACAGCCAAGAGGAAAUUAUCAGUGGUCAGAAUGCUAUCAAUAUGAAUUACAGUCUAUUGACUGUGGCUGACUGGGCGGUUUCAAAGAUCAAGUCCAAUGGCUUCUUCGAGAUUUGUGAUCCAUGGAUCGGGGCCACUCAUAUACGCUGAAUCUCUAUGGCUAAUAGCGGUGGUGGCGUCCCCAAUGUAUGAGAUCUACUACGAAAAAAAGGCCAUGAAUGGCGAAGGGCGACGUCGUGAGCGCCACGCGUUCACAACACCGCUGGCUGAUUCGGAAUAAAGGGGCGGUCCAAUAGCUUUGUAGCGACGUUCGCUACUUCAGAGCGAUGUCGCUGUGAUGGUGGAAUAUUGAGGGCCACGGCGUGGUGCCAACAUCAUGAGCACCAUGGUACCGAUGUCAUGAGUGAUAUGGUGACGACGGUAUCUCCAACGGUGAUGAGAGAGAGACAGUUAUUAGGGUUUGUGAG
RNAcentral lists this long non-coding RNA (893 nucleotides) under Olea europaea subsp. europaea. The record is from RNAcentral. Lineage: Eukaryota; Viridiplantae; Streptophyta; Magnoliopsida; Lamiales; Oleaceae.